RNAcentral lists this ribosomal RNA (346 nucleotides) under uncultured Symbiodinium. Its description in RNAcentral is "partial Bacterial large subunit ribosomal RNA". It matches the Rfam family "Bacterial large subunit ribosomal RNA", at positions 1408 to 1755 of the family's 2925-position model. Lineage: Eukaryota; Dinophyceae; Suessiales; Symbiodiniaceae. The record is from RNAcentral.
GGUGUAGUCGAUGGGAAACGGGUUAAUAUUCCCGUACCUUGGAUAGCUGCGAUGGAGAGACGGAGAAGGCUAGGUGAGCCGGGCGACGGUUGUCCCGGUUUAAGCGAGUAGGGAGUGGACUUAGGCAAAUCCGGGUCCACAAUCUCGAGACGCGACGACGACUGCUCUUAGAGCGGGAAGUCAUUGAUGCCAUGCUUCCAGGAAAAUCUUCUAAGCUUCAGGCUAUUCGAGACCGUACCCCAAACCGACACAGGUGGUCAGGUAGAGAAUACCAAGGCGCUUGAGAGAACUCGGGUAAAGGAACUAGGCAAAAUGGUGCCGUAACUUCGGGAGAAGGCACGCUGGU